AGUGAAUAGAUACCCAGGUAGUCCACGCCGUAAACGAUGAUAACUAGCUGUCGGGGCCCAUAGGGUUUCGGUGGCGCAGCUAAACGCAUUAAGUUAUCCGCCUGGGGAGUACGGCCGCAAGGUUAAAACUCAAAGAAAUUGACGGGGGCCUGCACAAGCGGUGGAGCAUGUGGUUUAAAUUCGAAGCAACGCGCAGAACCUUACCAGCGUUUGACAUCCUCAUCGCGGGAUCCAGAGAUGGAUCCCUUCAGUUCGGCUGGAUGAGUGACAGGUGCUGCAUGGCUGUCGUCAGCUCGUGUCGUGAGAUGUUGGGUUAAGUCCCGCAACGAGCGCAACCCUCGUCCUUAGUUGCCAUCAUUUAGUUGGGCACUCUAAGGAAACCGCCGGUGAUAAGCCGGAGGAAGGUGGGGAUGACGUCAAGUCCUCAUGGCCCUUACGCGCUGGGCUACACACGUGCUACAAUGGCGGUGACAGUGGGCAGCAAACCCGCGAGGGUGAGCUAAUCUCCAAAAGCCGUCUCAGUUCGGA
This 528-nucleotide ribosomal RNA is filed under the name uncultured bacterium. Its description in RNAcentral is "bacterial SSU rRNA". It matches the Rfam family "Bacterial small subunit ribosomal RNA", at positions 773 to 1297 of the family's 1533-position model. The record is from RNAcentral.